UACGUAGGGGGCAAGCGUUGUCCGGAAUCAUUGGGCGUAAAGAGCGUGUAGGCGGCCCGGUAAGUCCGCUGUGAAAGUCCAGGGCUCAACCCUGGGAUGCCGGUGGAUACUGUCGGGCUCGAGUCCGGAAGAGGAGUGUGGAAUUCCUGGUGUAGCGGUGAAAUGCACAGAUAUCAGGAGGAACACCAAUGGCGAAGGCAGCACUCUGGGACGUGACUGACGCUGAGACGCGAAAGCGUGGGGAGCAAACAGG
RNAcentral lists this ribosomal RNA (253 nucleotides) under uncultured bacterium. Its description in RNAcentral is "partial 16S ribosomal RNA". It matches the Rfam family "Bacterial small subunit ribosomal RNA", at positions 524 to 776 of the family's 1533-position model. The record is from RNAcentral.